CCGCCUGCCAACAUGCCUUUCACCGCAAGCGACAUCAUCAAGAUCAUCUUCGCCAUCAUCCUCCCCCCUCUUGGUGUUUUCCUCGAGCGUGGAUGCAAUGCCGACUUUCUUAUUAACAUCCUCCUGACCAUCCUUGGUUACAUUCCCGGCAUCAUUCACGCCUUGUACAUUAUAUUCAAGUUCUAGCGGGGGCGCUCGACAAACCUCUACGAUACCCUUUUUUCUUUCUCCCUCAAAUUUCUCAUCUUCUCGGUCGGCACCAUGUCAUCAAAGUUCAAUGUCGGUUCGGUUAGCUUGAAGUGCCUACGGAUUAGUUAACCUGGCUCGACAUGGAUCUGCCGCAGCCGGUGAUUCUGGGGCUUUAUUAUAUUCUUCAUUUCUACGUUAAUGCCGGCUCCACAUGGGACGUGCUAAGCGA
RNAcentral lists this unclassified non-coding RNA (418 nucleotides) under Hevea brasiliensis (rubber tree). The record is from RNAcentral. Lineage: Eukaryota; Viridiplantae; Streptophyta; Magnoliopsida; Malpighiales; Euphorbiaceae.